RNAcentral lists this ribosomal RNA (671 nucleotides) under Salmonella enterica. RNAcentral's name for it is "bacterial SSU rRNA". It matches the Rfam family "Bacterial small subunit ribosomal RNA", at positions 1 to 661 of the family's 1533-position model. Lineage: Bacteria; Pseudomonadati; Pseudomonadota; Gammaproteobacteria; Enterobacterales; Enterobacteriaceae. The record is from RNAcentral.
AAAUUGAAGAGUUUGAUCAUGGCUCAGAUUGAACGCUGGCGGCAGGCCUAACACAUGCAAGUCGAACGGUAACAGGAAGCAGCUUGCUGCUUUGCUGACGAGUGGCGGACGGGUGAGUAAUGUCUGGGAAACUGCCUGAUGGAGGGGGAUAACUACUGGAAACGGUGGCUAAUACCGCAUAACGUCGCAAGACCAAAGAGGGGGACCUUCGGGCCUCUUGCCAUCAGAUGUGCCCAGAUGGGAUUAGCUUGUUGGUGAGGUAACGGCUCACCAAGGCGACGAUCCCUAGCUGGUCUGAGAGGAUGACCAGCCACACUGGAACUGAGACACGGUCCAGACUCCUACGGGAGGCAGCAGUGGGGAAUAUUGCACAAUGGGCGCAAGCCUGAUGCAGCCAUGCCGCGUGUAUGAAGAAGGCCUUCGGGUUGUAAAGUACUUUCAGCGGGGAGGAAGGUGUUGUGGUUAAUAACCGCAGCAAUUGACGUUACCCGCAGAAGAAGCACCGGCUAACUCCGUGCCAGCAGCCGCGGUAAUACGGAGGGUGCAAGCGUUAAUCGGAAUUACUGGGCGUAAAGCGCACGCAGGCGGUCUGUCAAGUCGGAUGUGAAAUCCCCGGGCUCAACCUGGGAACUGCAUUCGAAACUGGCAGGCUUGAGUCUUGUAGAGGGGGG